Molecule: long non-coding RNA, 1033 nt
Filed under: Gallus gallus (chicken)
Lineage: Eukaryota; Metazoa; Chordata; Aves; Galliformes; Phasianidae
Description: lncRNA (ENSGALG00010010054.1)
Source: RNAcentral
GAGAAUUUGAUUAGGAUGACAGUGAGAAUGCGACGCUUCAAGUUUUUAUUUCUAAAGUGACUUUUCAAGUAGGUAGAGCAUACAGUGAAUUUUUUUUGUUUGCAUUUAGAGCUCAAAUCAACCCUUAAAAGUUGCUGUCAGUGCAUACUGCUUUGUCUAGGGCAAAACAGUUGUGCCGCCUUCAUUUUCAGAAGUGCUUUGGUAGCGGCUUUUAAUUGCAAUAAGCAAAAAAUGGAGAGGUUUUAGAAGCAGACCCAGCUUGGAUCACUGCCUCUUUUGCUCUUUGCAUAGAAGGUACUUAGAGGUGCUUAAGAACUUGGAGCUUCUAGACAGACUGUUUCUGCAUUUCUGGUGAGAGUUUUCUAAUACGUCUGCUGCUCUUGUUGGGUAGUUGCAAUCUGAUUUUUAGCUUUCCUGUAUGUUUUAGUGAGAACAGUGUUAUCUUGUUAAAAUCUUCCUUCCCUCUUUUUGAUCUGAAACUGAGCUCAAAUAAUUUUGUCCAAAUUGAGUGUUUCAGGAUAGGACUGGAGAAAGGAAGGGGUAUUCUUUCCUCAGCCCUACCACUUCAAACUUACACCUGCUCCCUGUGCUUUCUGAGCCUGUGUUCUGAAGUGGAAGGGAAGACUUCAACCAGGAAUCACCAGAUCCGUCUGCAGAAUGGAAAUACUCUGUUUACCUGAGCAGAUAUCACCAACUCAUUGUCUCACAUGAUCUGAUGGAAGUAACCAGUAAAACUCAAAGUAAUUGUCCUCAAAUUCUAUAUAUGCAUUUGGAGCUUGCUGCUGCUGCUAUUCCAGAAGGUAUUUUGUGUCCUUCUUUCCAGUCUGUUAAUCAAAUGGAUAACAGAUUCUCCAAAUCUCCUCAUUCUUGAGAGCCAGUCCUUGGAGCUUGCAUAGGUUGGGAUGUGGGAGCAGACAGCAAUGUGGAGGGCUGUGGCAAACUGAGCUGUACCCAUCUUUACCUGGGCUGUCUGCUGUGACCUUGUGUCUGGCACUGGGAGGUUUCAGUAGUCUGUGGAGUCCUUAGACAGAGC